This 250-nucleotide ribosomal RNA is filed under the name uncultured prokaryote. Its description in RNAcentral is "partial 16S ribosomal RNA". It matches the Rfam family "Bacterial small subunit ribosomal RNA", at positions 524 to 774 of the family's 1533-position model. The record is from RNAcentral.
UACGUAGGGGGCAAGCGUUGUCCGGAAUUAUUGGGCGUUAAGGGUACGUAGGCGGAUCAUUAAGUCUAUUGUGAAAGGCAGGGGCUCAACCCCUGUAAGCAGUAGAAACUGGUGACCUUGAGUGAUAGAGGGGACAGUGGAAUUCCUAGUGUAGCGGUGAAAUGCUUAGAGAUUAGGAGGAAUACCGGUGGCGAAGGCGACUGUCUGGAUAUCAACUGACGCUGAGGUACGAAAGCGUGGGGAGCUAACA